RNAcentral lists this ribosomal RNA (468 nucleotides) under uncultured Ascomycota. RNAcentral describes it as "SSU rRNA". It matches the Rfam family "Eukaryotic small subunit ribosomal RNA", at positions 624 to 1098 of the family's 1831-position model. The record is from RNAcentral. Lineage: Eukaryota; Fungi; Ascomycota.
AAGCUCGUAGUUGAACCUUGGGCCUGGCUGGCCGGUCCGCCUCACCGCGUGUACUGGUCCGGCCGGGCCUUUCCCUCUGUGGAACCCCAUGCCCUUCACUGGGUGUGGCGGGGAAACAGGACUUUUACUUUGAAAAAAUUAGAGUGCUCCAGGCAGGCCUAUGCUCGAAUACAUUAGCAUGGAAUAAUAGAAUAGGACGUGUGGUUCUAUUUUGUUGGUUUCUAGGACCGCCGUAAUGAUUAAUAGGGACAGUCGGGGGCAUCAGUAUUCAAUUGUCAGAGGUGAAAUUCUUGGAUUUAUUGAAGACUAACUACUGCGAAAGCAUUUGCCAAGGAUGUUUUCACUAAUCAGGAACGAAAGUUAGGGGAUCGAAGACGAUCAGAUACCGUCGUAGUCUUAACCAUAAACUAUGCCGACUAGGGAUCGGACGAUGUUAUUUUUUGACUCGUUCGGCACCUUACGGGAAAC